UACUUAGUGGCAGACGGGUGAGUAACAUGUGGGUAUCUACCCUUUGGCCUGGAAUAACACGAGGAAACUUGUGCUAAUACCGGAUAAGUCUUUACGGAGAAAGCUUUAUGCACCAUUGGAUGAGCCCGCACUUGAUUAGUUUGUUGGUAGGGUAAUGGCCUACCAAGACUAUGAUCAAUAGCUGAUUUGAGAGGAUGAUCAGCCACAUUGGGACUGAGACACGGCCCAAACUCCUACGGGAGGCAGCAGUGGGGAAUCUUGCACAAUGGAGGAAACUCUGAUGCAGCGAUGCCGCGUGAGUGAAGAAGGCCUUUGGGUUGUAAAGCUCUUUCGUCGGGGAAGAAAAUGACUGUACCCGAAUAAGAAGGUCCGGCUAACUUCGUGCCAGCAGCCGCGGUAAUACGAAGGGACCUAGCGUAGUUCGGAAUUACUGGGCUUAAAGAGUUCGUAGGUGGUUGAAAAAGUUGGUGGUGAAAUCCCAGAGCUUAACUCUGGAACUGCCAUCAAAACUUUUCAGCUAGAGUAUGAUAGAGGAAAGCAGAAUUUCUAGUGUAGAGGUGAAAUUCGUAGAUAUUAGAAAGAAUACCAAUUGCGAAGGCAGCUUUCUGGAUCAUUACUGACACUGAGGAACGAAAGCAUGGGUAGCGAAGAGGAUUAGAUACCC
This 664-nucleotide ribosomal RNA is filed under the name alpha proteobacterium SCGC AAA163-E23. Its description in RNAcentral is "bacterial SSU rRNA". It matches the Rfam family "Bacterial small subunit ribosomal RNA", at positions 89 to 787 of the family's 1533-position model. Lineage: Bacteria; Pseudomonadati; Pseudomonadota; Alphaproteobacteria. The record is from RNAcentral.